CGGACGGGUGAGUAAUGUCUGGGAAACUGCCUGAUGGAGGGGGAUAACUGCUGGAAACGGUAGCUAAUACCGCAUAACGUCGCAAGACCAAAGAGGGGGACCUUCGGGCCUCUUGCCAUCGGAUGUGCCCGGAUGGGAUUAGCUAGUAGGUGGGGUAACGGCUCACCUAGGCGACGAUCCCUAGCUGGUCUGAGAGGAUGACCAGCCACACUGGAACUGAGACACGGUCCAG
RNAcentral lists this ribosomal RNA (232 nucleotides) under uncultured bacterium. RNAcentral describes it as "partial 16S ribosomal RNA". It matches the Rfam family "Bacterial small subunit ribosomal RNA", at positions 99 to 334 of the family's 1533-position model. The record is from RNAcentral.